UUUCUUUUCCUUUUCAUUUUGUUUCUUUUUAUUUAGAUGUUUAUUAAAAGUGAAAAAAAAUUUAAUGAUAUUCUUCUUUAUUCGUAACUUGUACGUGGAAAAUCUUAUAUUCAAUUAUCAUUACAUGCGAAUUUGAAUUAUAUUACAUCUCGCCAUUAUUAUUAUUAUCAAAACAUGUUCUGUCUCAUCUCACAUAUCAAACGUACUUUUGAUGAUAGAUAAUAUCAUUUAUUCCCACAAAAAAAAAAAAAAGGGGAAAAGAAUUAAGAUGUAAAAAGUGGGAUAAACCCAUUUUCUUUCCUCCUCCCGUAUCCUCCCUCCUUCUGUUUUGCGCUGCAACAGGAGCCCCAUUAUACAGCAAGCCGACGACUGCCGAGUGCCGACGCAACAGCUCUGUCAUCCACGGGUCACCAAAGGCUCUCAAACUACACAUCCAGAAUGCUCUUGCCGUCCUUUAUCCAAUCCCCAAGUUAGUUUCUAUAAAUUCGUAGGCGAUUUUCCUCAACUUCAAAUUUAAGAAACGGUGACCCAGGGUUUUCCGGCCAACUUCCGGCCAAUAUCGCCGGAAUUUGACCUCGACCCAAGAGGUAGAAAUGAUCCUCUUCUCGUGGGCUGUUCUCCAAUGUGGACACAAAAGUGAUUGCAAAUUAGAAACAUUAAUCUAAAGCAUACCUUGUCCAUUCCUGUCGAAAUGCGGGUUUUACUUGCAAUCGGGGAUUAUGCGUGUCAACAAGCUUAGAAUCAAAUGGCCUUAAGUCUUGCACAUUAAUAACCUUCAAUAACUCCAAAGACGGCAACUUCAAAGUGUAAGCUUCGCCACAAAAAUACUUGAGUUUUGGCAGGCUUUUAAGCUUGAUGGACUUCACUUUAGGUAAUGUAAUUAUUUCCCCUGCUUCUUCUUCUUCUGCGGCAACGAUUUCUUCCAUCUGCUCACACUU
Molecule: long non-coding RNA, 938 nt
Organism: Pyrus x bretschneideri (Chinese white pear)
Lineage: Eukaryota; Viridiplantae; Streptophyta; Magnoliopsida; Rosales; Rosaceae
Exons: 2
Source: RefSeq, a predicted model, not a curated record